RNAcentral lists this ribosomal RNA (167 nucleotides) under uncultured bacterium. Its description in RNAcentral is "partial 16S ribosomal RNA". It matches the Rfam family "Bacterial small subunit ribosomal RNA", at positions 1334 to 1500 of the family's 1533-position model. The record is from RNAcentral.
GCUAGUAAUGGCAGGUCAGCAUACUGCCGUGAAUACGUUCCCGGGCCUUGUACACACCGCCCGUCACACCAUGAGAGUUGGGAAUACCCGAAGCCUGUGAGCUAACAUUUAUGAGGCAGCAGUCGAAGGUAGAAUCAAUGAUUGGGGUGAAGUCGUAACAAGGUACC